CCGGCGCACGGGUGAGUGACACGUAUGCAACCUGGCCGUCACAGGUGGAUAACCGGAAGAAAUUCCGACUAAUACAGCAUAACACUCCUGAGGGACAUCCUUCGGGAGUCAAAGGAGGCAACUCCGGUGACGGAUGGGCAUGCGGCGCAUUAGGUAGUUGGUAGGGUAACGGCCUACCAAGCCGACGAUGCGUAGGGGUUCUGAGAGGAAGGUCCCCCACAUUGGAACUGAGACACGGUCCAAACUCCUACGGAAGGCAGCAG
RNAcentral lists this ribosomal RNA (263 nucleotides) under uncultured bacterium. RNAcentral describes it as "partial 16S ribosomal RNA". It matches the Rfam family "Bacterial small subunit ribosomal RNA", at positions 95 to 354 of the family's 1533-position model. The record is from RNAcentral.